UUCCAGACUCCUACGGGAGGCAGCAGUGGGGGAUAUUGCACAAUGGGGGAAGCCCUGAUGCAGCGACGCCGCGUGGGUGAAGAAGCGCCUCGGCGCGUAAAGCCCUGUCAGCAGGGAAGAAAAUGACGGUACCUGAAGAAGAAGCCCCGGCUAACUACGUGCCAGCAGCCGCGGUAAUACGUAGGGGGCAAGCGUUAUCCGGAUUUACUGGGUGUAAAGGGAGCGUAGACGGUUAUGUAAGUCUGGAGUGAAAGCCCGGGGCCCAACCCCGGGACUGCUUUGGAAACUGUGUAACUGGAGUACAGGAGGGGCAGGCGGAAUUCCUGGUGUAGCGGUGAAAUGCGUAGAUAUUAGGAGGAACACCGGUGGCGAAGGCGGCCUGCUGGACUGUGACUGACGUUGAGGCUCGAAAGCGUGGGGAGCAAACAGGAUUAGAUCCCCGAGUA
This 446-nucleotide ribosomal RNA is filed under the name uncultured bacterium. Its description in RNAcentral is "bacterial SSU rRNA". It matches the Rfam family "Bacterial small subunit ribosomal RNA", at positions 329 to 792 of the family's 1533-position model. The record is from RNAcentral.